AAAAGCAUGAAAUGUAAUUAAGUAAUUGCCACCAGACAUCCCUGCAAAUAGGGGGUAGUAUUCUGCACAUCUGACAGAAUGCUUCAUUGUUCUCACUUUCUCCGCCACACUGUCUUUUCCUGCGGAUGGGGUUGUGGAAUAACCAAAUAAUGUGGACCGGCUGCACAGCACUGUGCACUACUUUAAACACUCUGUAGGAGCUUUGUCCAGUGCAGCUGCUAUCGUAGAUUCAAGUUUGGAAAUACGAGUGGAAAAACUAUUUGCUGAAAAUUGGUCAAUAAAUCAAAACCAUGUGAAUUUCCAUGUGCGGUCAUAAUCAAAUAAAAACAAUUCCAAGUAUCGUCAACCUCAAGUGCUAAUGAGAACGGCCAUCAAAGGACCUUCGGAUAAAUUUAAUUUGCUGCAGGUAAUUAGCCACAAAUAACACCAUGGAACGGAAAUAUUUACAUAUGUGCUGAGAGACCGCAGCACGCAACAUUUAUAUUUAUACCCGCCCAUGUGGGUGCCCAUGUGUGUGCCAUGACAACCCGUUUAACGAGCCAAUCACGCAGACGUGGAUAAAUAAAUAGUCAAAUUAAUACGAA
Molecule: long non-coding RNA, 584 nt
Organism: Drosophila biarmipes
Lineage: Eukaryota; Metazoa; Arthropoda; Insecta; Diptera; Drosophilidae
Exons: 3
Source: RefSeq, a predicted model, not a curated record